This is an RNA transcript of Magnolia sinica, 2513 nucleotides long. It is a transcript of the gene named peptidyl-prolyl cis-trans isomerase FKBP53-like, with no coding region annotated. The record is from RefSeq and is a predicted model, not a curated record. Lineage: Eukaryota; Viridiplantae; Streptophyta; Magnoliopsida; Magnoliales; Magnoliaceae. The transcript is spliced from 14 exons.
GGGUAGGACGCAAUCCGCGUCCGGUUAGAACCCAGCUUCGGUUGAUAAAAGCUUCCUAGGGUUUUAGUCUGCCUCUGCUGCUGAAGAUUCUCUCACAAACAAUCGUUUCUCGAAGAAAUCUCUUUCGAGAAUGGCUUUUUGGGGUGUUGAAGUAAAGCCAGGAAAGCCAUACACCCAUCAAUACGACGACACGCACGGAAGGCUUCACAUUUCUCAGGCUACAUUAGAUUAUGGGCCGUCAAUGAAGAAGAGUGUUGUUCAGUGCAAUGUGGGCAAUAAGACUCCUGUCCUGCUAUGUUCUUUGUUGCCUGAGAAAAUAGAGUCAUGCCCAUUGAAUCUUGAAUUUGAGGAGGCUGAUGAAGUCGUUUUCUCAGUUCUUGGCCCCAAAAGUGUGCACCUUACUGGUUACUAUCUGGGUUCGAGUCGUAGGUACAAUCAAGACGGUGAUGACACUGAUUCUUAUGGGGAAGAUAUUGCUGAUACGGAAACUGAUCGAUCGAAUGAAACUGAAGAUGAGUAUGACGAUGAUUUCAUUGAUGAUGGUGAUCCUGAACUCUUUCUUGCGUCACCUCAGCUCAGAAGUAGUGGAGUUAUAAAUGACGAGAUACUGGAUGAUGUAAAACCUACAAAUAAGAGUGGUACUCGAAGGCGUCUUAAGAAGAAGUAUCAGGCCAGUGACUCUGAAGGAGAUAAUGGUGAUCAUGCAAAAGUUUUUGGCAAACAUACUAGCCUUGUUGUUUUGGAAAGUGAAGAUGAAGAUUGUAUUCCACUUUCUGCCAUACGGAGAAGUGAACAAAAUGUUAGUGAAAAAGCAGAAGAUAAAUUAGACAAUAAUUCUGCUGGGGAAGUUAGGAAGAACAGGAAAGGGGAAGAUGAUGGUGAUCAAGGAAUGCUUUUAAAAAGGAAGAUUGAUGCCAUUGAGCAAGACGGUAAUAGAGAAAGGGAAGCUAACCAGACAUGUGGUUCCUUAGUAUUAGCAAGUGGGGUUGCUGCUGAAAAUGGUCUGAAGUCAAAGAAGAAAAAGAAAGAGAGGGCUAAGGAGCUAAAAAUCCUUGAGUCAGGGGUUAGUUUAUUGACUGAUAAAACUAUGGAACGGGCCAGUAGAGAACAAAAUCAAGCUAUAGAUGAUGGCCAGAUAAACAUCCCUAAUGACGGUAAAGAUUGGUCAUUGGAGGCGAAUAUUGAUAACAUGGACCAGGAUUUGCCAAUCAGAGGUGAUCUGAAGGAGAAGCUACCAAGCAAUGAGAAUGCCAUUGACUCAAUUCCCUCAGAUGUAGUUAUUGUUGAAUUUAAUGGAAGGCCAAAGAAGAAAAAGAAUAAAAGUUCAAAGGAUACUGCACUUAAACAAGAAGUUGAUCCAUCAUCUGAAACAGUAGACAAGGCUUCUUAUGACAAUGGGAAGUCAUCUCAUAUCAUUGAAGAGGCUAAGAGUGAAAUGAUAGACCAGGAUAUGCCUGUUAGAGCUCAAGAAUCAAGCGCCAAGCUUCCGGAUGAUCAUCAAAACGAAGGUAAGAAACAGAAGAAAAAACUGAAGCGUAAGGCGAGUGAUACAAAUAAAAACAAUGAGGGAUCAGGGUUGACAAUGAUGGAGGAGAAAACCGAGUAUGCUAAAGAGAUUGAGAUGAAAGCUGAAGUGCAAAUAUCAGAAGCAAAGACCUCUGAUGGAUUGGUUAUUGAGGAGCUAUCAAUGGGCAAUCCUGAUGGCAAAAGAGCUUCUCAUGGAAAUAAAGUGUCUAUCUACUAUACUGGUAGGUUAAAUGAGAAUGGAAAAGUAUUCGACUCGAAUAUUGGCCAAAAGGCUUUUAAAUUCCGGCUAGGUAAAGGACGAGUUAUAGAGGGAUGGGAUGCUGGAAUUCCUGGUAUGCGCAUUGGUGACAAAAGAAGGCUAAUUAUUCCACCGUCUUUCGGUUAUGGGCCUGAAGGAGCAGGGGAAGUACCGGGGAAUGCAUGGCUCAUGUAUGACGUUGAGUUGGUUGACGUCCGCUAAGCAUUUUGCUUCAUUGUCUUCCCUCUUCGGGCUUAACACUUAACGCGGAAUGCGCAAAAGAUUUUGUUCAACAGUGGCCUCAUCAAGCUCUACCAAUAGAGGGUGCUGCCGUGAAGUUUUUUUUUCAAUUUUCUUUUUGGGGACAUGCAUGGCAGCAGCUAUCCGACUAACAACUAUUGACCCCAGGUUUUAUGGUGCUGGAAACUUCUCUGUGAGUAGAAUUUAUGUUUGAUUAUAUUAUUAGCAAGUUAAGAGGCAGUUUCUUGUUAUUAUUUGGAUCCUUCACUGAUAGGUGCUCUUUCCACUAGAAUGGGGGCAGUUGCAUUUUUUGAAGGUGUUGAUAGCAGAGUUCACCUGAGCAUUAAGAUGCUGAUUCGAGAGAUACAAGAACUAGAAACUGAGCUGCAUGAAGGAGAAAACAAAAGCACAGUACUUGAGAAACGGCAGAUGAAAAUGUUUUACUGUGUGCUUGCUUUAUGCUGCUGCUUUGACAUUUAUUUUAUUUAAAAAGAAAAAUUGUGAAACU